GCCACCUUUGACUCCUCCCUCCCGUCCUCCCCGUCUCUGAGCAGUCCGACCGCAAGUCCCUCUCACUCACUAACGAGGCUGAGUGACACUCCCUUCAACAGCGUUCCCUGCCCUGGGAAGGUGGGUGUGACCUUCCAGCCAACGCGUGCGAAGAUUAACGAAACACACUCACCGAUUCUGCGCUGGCGUGAAGGCUCUCACCCCGCAUCCCGUCCGGAGAGACUGACGGGCACGCGGCCAAGCAGGCGGCUUCCUGAGUGGCCGUGGCCCUGAAGAGCCACAGCCUGGGCCCCGCCGUCCGCUCAGGAACCAGUGCUCCACAUCACCAGGAUGUGAACCCGCCUCCCAGUCAAAGGGCGAAGUCUCUGCAGAGAACCCCAUUGCUACCAAGCGCUCCUCCAAGGUUCUGUGUUCCUGGAAUCCGCACACCGGGCUGCCAGCAGAAUCCAGUUUUCAAUCGUAGAAGGCAACAUAUAAAGAACUAAUGAACACAGAGUAAAUAAAAUCACCAAGUCCGUGUGAGUCCUCCCCCUCAACAUUUCUCGUAUAUCUUGAAUCCAUCCAUCAUCGCUAUCAAUCUCUGAACCCCGGCCAUCAUCCCUAC
Molecule: long non-coding RNA, 604 nt
Filed under: Equus caballus (horse)
Lineage: Eukaryota; Metazoa; Chordata; Mammalia; Perissodactyla; Equidae
Description: lncRNA (ENSECAG00000052805.1)
Source: RNAcentral